RNAcentral lists this ribosomal RNA (497 nucleotides) under uncultured bacterium. RNAcentral's name for it is "partial 16S ribosomal RNA". It matches the Rfam family "Bacterial small subunit ribosomal RNA", at positions 899 to 1397 of the family's 1533-position model. The record is from RNAcentral.
ACUCAAAUGAAUUGACGGGGGCCCGCACAAGCGGCGGAGCAUGUGGCUUAAUUCGAAGCAACGCGAAGAACCUUACCAAGGCUUGAAAUGUACGGAAAAGCCAUAGAGAUAUGGUGUCCUUCGGGGCCGUACACAGGUGGUGCAUGGUUGUCGUCAGCUCGUGCCGUGAGGUGUUGGGUUAAGUCCCGCAACGAGCGCAACCCCUAUCUUAUGUUGCCAGCGAGUAAUGUCGGGGACUCAUGAGAGACUGCCGGUGUCAAACCGGAGGAAGGUGGGGAUGACGUCAAAUCAUCAUGCCCCUUACGUCUUGGGCUGCACACAUGCUACAAUGGCCGGUACAGAGGGCUGCGACCCCGUGAGGGUGAGCGAAUCUCAUAAAGCCGGUCUCAGUUCGGAUUGGAGUCUGCAACUCGACUCCAUGAAGGCGGAGUCGCUAGUAAUCGCGGAUCAGCAACGCCGCGGUGAAUACGUUCCCGGGCCUUGUACACACCGCCCGU